GAUGAACGCUGGCGGCGUGCCUAAUACAUGCAAGUCGAGCGAACGGACGAGAAGCUUGCUUCUCUGAUGUUAGCGGCGGACGGGUGAGUAACACGUGGAUAACCUACCUAUAAGACUGGGAUAACUUCGGGAAACCGUAGCUAAUACCGGAUAAUAUUUUGAACCGCAUGGUUCAAAAGUGAAAGACGGUCUUGCUGUCACUUAUAGAUGGAUCCGCGCUGCAUUAGCUAGUUGGUAAGGUAACGGCUUACCAAGGCAACGAUGCAUAGCCGACCUGAGAGAGUGAUCGGCCACACUGGAACUGAGACACGGUCCAGACUCCUACGGGAGGCAGCAGUAGGGAAUCUUCCGCAAUGGGCGAAAGCCUGGCGGAGCAACGCCGCGUGAGUGAUGAAGGUCUUCGGAUCGUAAAGCUCUGUUAUUAGGGAAGAACAUAUGUGUAAGUAACUGUGCACAUCUUGACGGUACCUAAUCAGAAAGCCACGGCUAACUACGUG
RNAcentral lists this ribosomal RNA (497 nucleotides) under uncultured bacterium. Its description in RNAcentral is "partial 16S ribosomal RNA". It matches the Rfam family "Bacterial small subunit ribosomal RNA", at positions 28 to 507 of the family's 1533-position model. The record is from RNAcentral.